CGAGAUGCUGAUGAAGUCUCAAUGGCAUUAACAAAUAGUAUAGCUUCUGAGGCAUUGCAUGGAGAUAUAUCUCAGCACCAGAGAGAGAGAACUUUAAAUGGCUUUCGGCAAGGAAAAUUUACAGUGCUUGUUGCCACAGACGUUGCUUCUCGUGGGCUUGAUAUUCCAAAUGUUGAUUUGGUUAUCCAUUAUGAACUUCCCAAUGAUCCUGAAACUUUUGUGCAUCGGUCUGGUCGUACUGGACGUGCAGGCAAGGAAGGUACUGCCAUUCUGAUGUUCAGUAGUAGUCAAAGGAGGACAGUUAGAUCUCUUGAGCGUGAUGUGGGGUGC
Molecule: unclassified non-coding RNA, 330 nt
Filed under: Hevea brasiliensis (rubber tree)
Lineage: Eukaryota; Viridiplantae; Streptophyta; Magnoliopsida; Malpighiales; Euphorbiaceae
Source: RNAcentral